ACAUUAUAGUUUAAAGGACUAAAAAGAAUAAAUCCAAGAAAGUACAAACAGUCACAAACCCUAACUCAACCCAAGGAGAACCCAAAGCUCACAAAGAACCCUAGUUCAUAGGAGCAAACCAACAAAACUUAAUGAGUCGUCAUCACCAUCGACCGUAUGCACACCUUUGGCCUGGGAGAUCAUUCCACAGCAAACAAAGCAUCUAAACCACCAUGAACAAACUGAAGGAAAGACGAGAUUUAGGGUCAAACCAUCUAACUUGGCUUCAACCACUGAAUCAACAGAUUUGGGGCGUUGACUCCAUGCCAUUCCAUUCCGACCAACGACUCAAAGGGUAGCGAGGAAACCUCGAGAAAAGACUGAAGCAAAAGCAAGACCACCAAAACUUGAUGCAAAAUGAGUCGCCCAGACUAAGAAAAACAUCACCCGUAUCUCGGGUUCAAGUUUCUUUGUUUAGUUAAAACAUAAAUCUGACUGCCAUCUAGUGCACAACAAUCAUCAUUUAUUACCGUAUAUAAUAUAUAUGUAUAUAUAUAACAUAAUUUUCUUCUUUGUAAUUGCUUUGGAUGAUAUCAUAUCCCAAUCCUUUGGUGCACCAAACACACCUAAAAUGAACAUGACACAUCAGCUAAAACCCAAGAUACCAACACUUCCUUGAACAACAUGAUAGCUUGUACAAUACAAACCUUAAACCCAUGUCCUGUUUCCCCUUUAAAAGCUU
Molecule: long non-coding RNA, 721 nt
Filed under: Gossypium barbadense (sea-island cotton)
Lineage: Eukaryota; Viridiplantae; Streptophyta; Magnoliopsida; Malvales; Malvaceae
Description: long non-coding RNA (GBAR_LNC015848)
Source: RNAcentral